RNAcentral lists this long non-coding RNA (276 nucleotides) under Brassica napus (rape). RNAcentral describes it as "long non-coding RNA (BNAP_LNC012849)". Lineage: Eukaryota; Viridiplantae; Streptophyta; Magnoliopsida; Brassicales; Brassicaceae. The record is from RNAcentral.
UGGGAGUUUGUAUUAGAAAUAAGAGAUUGAGAUUGAAAUUGUGGUUUUAGAAUUUGAGGUUUGGAAUGGAAAGAAUAGAUUGAGGUUAAAGGGAUGAUGGGGUUUGGAAUAUAUGAAGUAGAAGAUAAGGAAGAUGGGGUUUAGGGAAGAUGAGGUUUGGGGUUUCGGAUUUUAGGGAUUUAAACAUAUUCCUCGUAAACGAGGAAAUAACGACGAAAAGAACGUGGGCCUCGCUAAUUCCUCGUAAAUAAUAACACCGGUCUUGCUAUUUCCUCG